UACGUAGGGGGCGAGCGUUGUCCGGAAUCAUUGGGCGUAAAGCGCGCGCAGGCGGUCCUUUAAGUCUGAUGUGAAAGCCCACGGCUCAACCGUGGAGGGUCAUUGGAAACUGGGGGACUUGAGUGCAGAAGAGGAAAGCGGAAUUCCACGUGUAGCGGUGAAAUGCGUAGAGAUGUGGAGGAACACCAGUGGCGAAGGCGGCUUUCUGGUCUGUAACUGACGCUGAGGCGCGAAAGCGUGGGGAGCAAACAGG
This 253-nucleotide ribosomal RNA is filed under the name uncultured bacterium. Its description in RNAcentral is "partial 16S ribosomal RNA". It matches the Rfam family "Bacterial small subunit ribosomal RNA", at positions 524 to 776 of the family's 1533-position model. The record is from RNAcentral.